This 253-nucleotide ribosomal RNA is filed under the name uncultured bacterium. Its description in RNAcentral is "partial 16S ribosomal RNA". It matches the Rfam family "Bacterial small subunit ribosomal RNA", at positions 524 to 776 of the family's 1533-position model. The record is from RNAcentral.
UACGGAGGGUGCAAGCGUUAAUCGGAAUUACUGGGCGUAAAGCGUGCGUAGGCGGUUUUUUUAGUCAGAUGUGAAAGCCCCGGGCUCAACCUGGGAACUGCAUUUGAUACUGGCAGACUAGAGUAUGGUAGAGGGGGGUAGAAUUCCUGGUGUAGCGGUGAAAUGCGUAGAUAUCAGGAGGAAUACCAGUGGCGAAGGCGACCCACUGGGCCAAUACUGACGCUGAGGUACGAAAGCGUGGGUAGCGAACAGG